CGAUGUGCUGAUAUUCCGAAAAACAGAAAUCGAUUAUCAAGACCGAAAUCGGACUGAUUUCGGGCCCAUUAUCGGGAAGUGUGGAUGUAAUUCGCCCUUUAGUCCCUUUUUCUUUAGGGUGACGAUGAAGUGACAAAUCAAUAAAUGUUAUCAUUGUUGCCACAGGUAAACAAGCCAUGUUAUAGUUUCUAUUUUUCUCCGUGAGCUUCUACGGAUUAUCGUCUUAUCUAUUGUUUAAAAACCGCAAAGGCGCGUGCCACUAUGAAAAAAUGGUCAGUCCGCAUAGGUAGCGUUAUUGAAUUACUACUCUAUUGAGCACGGAAUAAGAUUCAUUAUGAACUAAUACAGAAUUCUAACAGAAUAGCUGUCUGAUCUCUAUUGGUGCGUCCAAGGUAGGCGACUAAACGCUCUCAAACCAGCUUAACUUGUGACACUGCGAUCCGAAACAAAGAUACGUAUUCGAAGACCUCGCUUGCAUUGGUAAUGCGAGCGCACGGCUAGCUAGCGCCAAGGAAGCAAUGUUAUGUUUCUCGAAGAGCAGGUAAAAAACAGGGCCGGAUUUUCACACAAAUAUAUUUGGGUGGUUUGCUUGAAAGAGUUAGCGUGAUUUGAUUCUAAACGGUAUGCAUAUUUUGUUUUAUAUUUAUUUAUUUCAUACGUACAAUAUUGUGUAGCUAUAUAUAACUUAAUUUUUUGUUGACUUUCAGAUACGUAUUAAGCACACUGUCCAAUACCUUCGCCAGUAUAGUUGCCACUCCUGUAAUGCGCGCGCGCUAACUCGACACAUACUAACAUCGUAAUAUGAUUCACAUUACGAUGCAAACUUCCACCGAAAAUUGGUUUGAACGAGAUCUAGUAAGUAGUUUAUUUUAUUAAUCCAUAAAAUAAAAAUAUUUUUUUUUUCAUCAAACCCAUACGUGUGGGGUAUCUAUGAAUAGGUCUUCAAAAAUGAUAUUUAGGUUUCUAAUAUCAUUUUUUUCUAAACUGAAUAGUUUGCGCGAGAGACACUACCAAAGUGGUAAAAUGUGUGUCCAAAAAAGUGGUAAAAUGUGUGUCCAAAGUGGUAAAAUGUUGAACGAGAUCUAGUAAGUAGUUUUUUUUAUACGUCAUAAAUGGUACGGAACCCUUCAUGGGCGAGUCCGACUCGCACUUGGCCGCUUUUUUGAUGAUAACUUUUUGUACCGUGAGGUACAAUUUUUUUAAAGGAGGUACUAAAUAGUACAAAUUAGGUACAAAAAUAUGGUAUGUUUUUCAUUUGAUUUUAUUUAGGUACACCUGCCAUUCUGACUCUCACUAUUUUGUAACCUACCUACCUACCUAUUUAUGUCACCUACCUACCUAUUUAUAUUAUCUACAUACCCAUUUCUAGUUGUUUUUCACAUAUGUAUCCAAAUCUGCCCUUUAUUGGGAAUGAGCUUGUGCUAAAUUGAACCCUACCAUUUUGUAAUAGGGUUCCAUACAAUUUUGAGAAAAUGUUACCACUGCCUUCUAAAGCCCUAAAAGUUUGGUAAAUAAAUGAGAGUUUGAUGCUUUGGACUGGCUCAGAAUUUAUUAUUAUUAUAUUUAAAUUGAUAUUGAACAUCCAUCCAAUGGCUGACUAAUUAAGAUUUCCUAUGUAUAGUUUUUGGUAUUGUACCCUUGUUCACCUACAGUCUUGUAUUUUAUACAACAUACUGUACCCCUAGUGUAAAUAAAUUCGAUUUCAAAACGUGACGUACGCGUUUGCGUUUAGUCUCAUUUUGUAUUGGAUUUAGAAAGAGCGCGCCAAGCGGGACGUUUUGGAAACUCAAAAUCCUAUACAAAAUGAGACUUAACGCAAACGCGUUCGUCACGUUAUGAUGUCGAUCAAAUUUACACUAGGGGUACUGUUCAUUAUCUUACAUUUGGAAGUAAUAAUACUAUUGACUUAAUUCAAUACAUGAUAAAUUUUUCUGAAGUAAAUGGAAAAUAUGUCAUGUUUGAUUAUUUUCACUGAAGGCAACUGGGGUUCGAGAACUUAAAAUUCAAAUGCUCAAAUGACUGAGCUAUUCGGGAACAUUUUAUACUUUGUUAUUAAAAUUAUAAUGUAUUUUUUAGUCAACUUGUAUGGCAAUUUACCAAACUGCCUGCAAAGGGAAAAAUAAAAUAUCCAUAUUCAAACAUUAUGAUAAUAUAAAACAUAAGCUCAAACUAUAGGAAGCUUGUAAGAAGUGUUAGUGAAAAAAGUAUAAACCAUGAACCCCACGAACUGACCUUCACAAUAAGGCAGCCAUGUAGAUUUUGUCCUUGUAAAGGCUGUUAGCAUUAUUUUGUAUAUUAGUAUAUGAGUAUGAAGUUCACAACCAAAUCAUUUAUUUAUUUUAUUGUAUUAGUGCAUCCAGCACAAUCUGGAAUGUCUUUCUUCUGGAUAUGGUUACAUAAUUUUUGAUUAGCAAAGGAAUAAUAAAAACGGUAUGCCAAUGCUUAAGCCUUAAAACGGUGUAGCAUAGAUUAUAAAUGCUUAGUAAAUUCCUUAAUCUAGAGACUAUUCCAACGGCAUCCGGAACAUUGUUAUUAUUUGUAAAAAGAUCACCUCAAUGUCCCACGGACAUAGAGAACGAAGCACAAUGUCGGCAUGGAAUAUGUGGAUAUUUCAAGCAUUCAAGCCAUCACCUCAAACGUCCCACGGACAUAGAGCACGAAGCACAAUGCCACGCGAUGUGUUGAUAUUUUCAAGUUAACAUCUCAAUGUCCCACGGACAUAGACAAACUCGUCACACGAGAAUGUAUAAAAAGUUUACAAAAUCUUUGUAUCGAUAUUUUAUAAUAAAAUGAGGUUAAGUACAUGAA
Molecule: long non-coding RNA, 2808 nt
Organism: Cydia pomonella (codling moth)
Lineage: Eukaryota; Metazoa; Arthropoda; Insecta; Lepidoptera; Tortricidae
Exons: 2
Source: RefSeq, a predicted model, not a curated record